CAAAGGCUUGGUCCUGACUUUACUGUCAGCUUUAACUAAACUUACACAUGCAAGUAUCAGCAUUCCCGUGAGAACACCCCACAGUUUUCCAACCCGAAAACAAGGAGUUGGUAUCAGGCACAAAUAAUUUUAGCCCAUAACACCCCGCUUUAGCCACACCUUCAAAGGAAUUCAGCAGUGAUAAACAUUAAGCAAUGAGUGAAAACUUGACUUAGUUAUAAGUAUAAAGAGCCGGUAAAACUCGUGCCAGCCACCGCGGUUAUACGAGAGGCUCAAGUUGACAAUUUAACGGCGUAAAGCGUGAUUAAGAGACAUAAAAACUAAAGCCAAACGCUUUCAUAGCUGUUAUACGCACUCGAAAGAAGGAAGUUCCUCCACGAAAGUGGCUUUAAAAUAUUUGACCUCACGAAAACUGUGAUACAAACUGGGAUUAGAUACCCCACUAUGCACAGCCGUAAACUUUGAUAAAAAUUUACCUUUAUUAUCCGCCAGGGGACUACGAGCAAAAGCUUAAAACCCAAAGGACUUGGCGGUGCUUUAGACCCACCUAGAGGAGCCUGUUCUAGAACCGAUAACCCCCGUUAAACCUCACCCUUUCUUGUCAAUUCCGCCUAUAUACCGCCGUCGUCAGCUUACCCUGUAAAGGAAAUUUAGUAAACAAAAUUGGCUCAGCCCAAAACGUCAGGUCGAGGUGUAGCGAAUGAAAGGGGAAGAAAUGGGCUACAUUUCCUAAUUUAGGAAAUUAACGAAAUACUCAAUGAAACAGGGUAUGAAGGAGGAUUUAGCAGUAAAUAGGAAAUAGAGCGUUCUAUUGAAACUGGCCCUGAAGCGUGCACACACCGCCCGUCACUCUCCCCGAGCCUAAUUUUAACUUUAACUAAAACCCUAUUUCUGGUAAAGGGGAGGCAAGUCGUAACAUGGUAAGUGUACCGGAAGGUGCACUUGGAAAAAU
This 952-nucleotide non-coding RNA is filed under the name Scriptaphyosemion cauveti (Kindia killi). RNAcentral's name for it is "12S ribosomal RNA". It matches the Rfam family "Bacterial small subunit ribosomal RNA". The record is from RNAcentral. Lineage: Eukaryota; Metazoa; Chordata; Actinopteri; Cyprinodontiformes; Nothobranchiidae.